This 565-nucleotide ribosomal RNA is filed under the name uncultured Glomeromycotina. RNAcentral describes it as "SSU rRNA". It matches the Rfam family "Eukaryotic small subunit ribosomal RNA", at positions 548 to 1114 of the family's 1831-position model. Lineage: Eukaryota; Fungi; Glomeromycota. The record is from RNAcentral.
UUGGAGGGCAAGUCUGGUGCCAGCAGCCGCGGUAAUUCCAGCUCCAAUAGCGUAUAUUAAAGUUGUUGCAGUUAAAAAGCUCGUAGUUGAAUUUCGGGGUUAGUAGGUUGGUCAUGCCUCUGGUAUGCACUGGUCUCACUGAUUCCUCCUUCCUGAUGAGCCGUAAUGCCAUUAAUUUGGUGUUGCGGGGAAUUUGGACUGUUACUUUGAAAAAAUUAGAGUGUUUAAAGCAAGCUAACGCUUGAAUACAUUAGCAUGGAAUAAUGAAAUAGGACGUUCGAUCCUAUUUUGUUGGUUUCUAGGAUUGACGUAAUGAUUAAUAGGGAUAGUUGGGGGCAUUAGUAUUCAAUUGUCAGAGGUGAAAUUCUUGGAUUUAUUGAAGACUAACUACUGCGAAAGCAUUUGCCAAGGAUGUUUUCAUUAAUCAAGAACGAAAGUUAGGGGAUCGAAGACGAUCAGAUACCGUCGUAGUCUUAACCAUAAACUAUGCCGACUAGGGAUCGGAUGAUGUUAAUUUUUUAAUGACUCAUUCGGCGCCUUACGGGAAACCAAAGUGUUUGGGUUC